AGAACGAACGCUGGCGGCAGGCUUAACACAUGCAAGUCGAGCGCUGUAGCAAUACAGAGCGGCAGACGGGUGAGUAACGCGUGGGAACAUACCCUCCGGUUCGGAAUAACUCAGGGAAACUUGAGCUAAUACCGAAUACGGUCGAGAGGCGAAAGAUUUAUCGCCGGAGGAUUGGCCCGCGUUCGAUUAGCUAGUUGGUGAGGUAACGGCUCACCAAGGCGACGAUCGAUAGCUGGUCUGAGAGGAUGAUCAGCCACAUUGGGACUGAGACACGGCCCAAACUCCUACGGGAGGCAGCAGUGGGGAAUAUUGGACAAUGGGCGAAAGCCUGAUCCAGCCAUGCCGCGUGAGUGAUGGCGGCCUUAGGGUUGUAAAGCUCUUUCGCUAGGGACGAUAAUGACGGUACCUAGACAAGAAGCCCGGCUAACUUCGUGCCAGCAGCCGC
Molecule: ribosomal RNA, 445 nt
Filed under: uncultured bacterium
Lineage: Bacteria
Description: SSU rRNA
Rfam family: Bacterial small subunit ribosomal RNA
Source: RNAcentral